CCUACGGGGGGCAGCAGUGGGGAAUAUUGGACAAUGGGCGAAAGCCUGAUCCAGCCAUGCCGCGUGUGUGAAGAAGGCCUUCGGGUUGUAAAGCACUUUCAGUGGGGAAGAAAGCCUUGGGGCUAAUACCCUCGAGGAAGGACAUCACCCACAGAAGAAGCACCGGCUAACUCCGUGCCAGCAGCCGCGGUAAUACGGAGGGUGCGAGCGUUAAUCGGAAUUACUGGGCGUAAAGCGCGCGUAGGCGGUCUGAUAAGCCGGUUGUGAAAGCCCCGGGCUCAACCUGGGAACGGCAUCCGGAACCGUCAGGCUAGAGUGCAGGAGAGGAAGGUAGAAUUCCCGGUGUAGCGGUGAAAUGCGUAGAGAUCGGGAGGAAUACCAGUGGCGAAGGCGGCCUUCUGGACUGACACUGACGCUGAGGUGCGAAAGCGUGGGUAGCAAACAGGAUUAGAUACCCGAGUAGUC
RNAcentral lists this ribosomal RNA (465 nucleotides) under Vreelandella stevensii. Its description in RNAcentral is "partial 16S ribosomal RNA". It matches the Rfam family "Bacterial small subunit ribosomal RNA", at positions 338 to 795 of the family's 1533-position model. The record is from RNAcentral. Lineage: Bacteria; Pseudomonadati; Pseudomonadota; Gammaproteobacteria; Oceanospirillales; Halomonadaceae.